AGUUAAGAAGCGCUGCAAACUGAAUGAGAAGCUCACGCUUCUGUGUGGUCAUGUUUCUCCAGUAUUACCUCAACGAGGAAGGAGACCGGGUCUACACGCUGAAGAAGCUUGACCCUAUGGGACAGCAGACCUGCUCGGCCCACCCUGCUCGGUUCUCCCCAGACGACAAAUACUCUCGACACCGAGUCACCAUCAAGAAACGCUUCAAGGUGCUCAUGACCCAGCAACCGCGCCCCGUCCUCUGAGGAUCUCUUGAAAUUUCACGUCUCUUCUGCCGCCUGCUAGCCCUCAGGAGACUUUCUGAAACCAAGCUCUUCCAUCUGUGAGCCUUGAAGUCUUGCUACGACCCUUGCUCCUUGCAUCCGGUCUCAUCCUUGCCUUUGAUUAUGCUUGUGGUGAGGCCAUCAUGGUAGCAUCCCCUUUAAAGGGAAGAUGUUUGAAUCUUCUUUGCAUACUUUGAGUCACUGCCAGGUUAUUAAAAUGAUUUGAAAGAGCUCUUAUUUUGUAUGUUGUGGGAAGAAAGGAGUGGUUUAAAAACGAAAACGAGGGAGAUGAGAGGGAAGAGUGCCCCAGGGGUACAAAAGACCACUUGGAAGAGAAACUUUGGUGGCUUCUGUAGCAGGAGCAGUGCUGUGCUUUGAGUCUUAGAAGCGUGCUGGGGAUGGGGAAGAGAGCUUGAGAAAGACUCCUGUGCAGCUGUCAGCAUCCACUAAAAAUACCCGUGUGUGCUCACUUAAGUAAUUUUUUUGUCCGUUGAAAUGACAUCUGACUGAAAAUGGAAGAGUUGCUUGAAAAAUAACAGCAGCUAUAUUGUAGAGAAAAGGCAUUGAAUUGGAAGCCAGGAGACCAGGAUUCUCCCCUCUCUGAAUACCUUUGAGAAAGUCAAUCUGUUUAGUUCCAUUUUUCUCAUCAUUUCUAAUUGCUCUUCUAACUCUAAUAUUGAUAGGGUUCAGUGGUGGAGCUUAAUGUACCUACAGUGUUUGUCCAACCGUUGUGAAUAGGAAUGCCUUUAUUUACCACCCCUCUGGAAAUAUUCCCAGGCUUUUAGUUCUCUCUUAUAUACACCUAACUUUAUAUUCUUUCUGGUAGCUAGCUGGUAUGUGGAACUCUACAUGGAUUUUAAUUUAGAAGAUGAGGUAUGAGAGAUUCGAGCAGGGAUUUUUGUUGUUUUUCAAACUACUCUUGGGGGUUAAUUUUUUUUUUUUUUUUUUUAAAUCCUGGAAGAUUUCUUAGGACUUGAGCUUCUAUUAUGGAGCACCCAUAAAAUUUUAAUCCAAUUACUUCAUAUUAGAGGGAAGAUGAGGGAAAAUAUCAUAUAUAGGCAUUCAAGAAAUGCUAGCCUCUUCCUUUCCUUAUCAAGUUAAUCAAGUCAGUAUUUCCCAGUCUUCUCAUUCAUGGCCUUUGACAUUGAAUUUGAAUGUUUGCUUAGUGCCACUGAUUUUUAAAUUGCUUUCUGAAGUUUGCAUUCCAAUGAUACAAUCUUCUUUUUCUACAAUAUCAAAGAUUCUAGACUCCAGAAGCAGAUGUAACUUAAAUCAGCACAAAUUUGAUUUAUCAAGACUGGCCCUGGAAAGGAGUAAAUAUGUUUCUCAUGGACUCUGAUGUCUGACUGUCCUGGCAGAAAAGUUCAGGAUAGUUGUUGACUGCUGAGAAAAAAACAUCUCUAGACUUGGGUCAUAGUUAAUAGAAGACAUGAUUUUCAAUCAGUUACUUAAAUUUAUGAGAAUGGUGAAAUGAGAUAAUUAUUUCCUGUCAAGCAAUUUUUUAUUUCUUAGCCUGUUCACUGAACAAGGUUCUUAGCAUAGAAUCUGAGGGAUUUUAAAGAGUCAUCCUAUCCUAUUAGGGGUUAAUGAUCAAAGAAAUGUUAGAAAUUCUGCAAAUGACUAGGAAAAGUAUCUGCUAUGGAAGUUUUUUUAAGAACUAAAGUCAGGGGAGUUCCCUGACAGUCCAGUGGUUAGGACUCUGAGCUUCCACUGUUGGGGGGUUCAGGUUCGAUCCCUGGUCGGGGAGCUAAGAUCUGGCAUGGCCAAAAUAAAAAAGAAAAGAACCGAAGUCAGUAAACGAAUGCUAUCAUUUUUUUAAAAUGUUGACUGUGAUUUUGUCUUUAUAAGUUACCCCCCCACCAAAAAAAGGAUUAUCAUUUUCCAUGCUACUUAUUGUGUAGACUGUAAUGGAAAGGCAAAUUGGUGUGAAUAUACCGAAAAUUUUUUUCCUUAAGAGAUCUCCUAGGUCUGAGCACAUUGUGUGAUGUGCUCAGAAAUGGGAGAAGAGUCUUAAGAAGUAUAGUAUAAAGUGAAUGAAAAUACACUGUGGUAUGAAACAAAAUUCGAUGUUGUAGAAAUCCAGGAUUUUUUUUUUAAAUGAAGGGAAAGUCUGUAAGAUUUGAAUGAACAGCAGGCAUGCCUGAGGAGAAAACUGAUCCCUCAGUAAAUUUCUUCCUUCCUCAAGUAAGAAAGCUGUAAGGCUGAAUGAAUAAUCACAGGCUUUAUAACGAAUCAAGCUUUGAGGAGAUUUACAUUUUAAAUAGGAAUUUAGUUUCCAUUCUGUUACCUGGAUCUUUUAAACCGGACAUUGGACUUUGUGUGUCAUUUGAUAAAAGGGAAUUUACUGGCUCACAUCUUAAAUACAGUUGUGAUCUAUUACUAGGGAUGAUCUUAAACAUUUCCACUUGUGCUGAGCAAGGACCCAGACAAAGCCAGGGCCCAGAUUGUUGAAUUUAAAUGUCUGGGUAAAUAACAAGGUCCUGUGGUAUAGCACAGGGAACUAUAUUCAACAUCCUUGAUAAACUAUAAUGGAAAAGAAUAUUAAAAAAAGGAUGUCUCUAUGUGUAUAACUGAGUCACUUUGCUGUACAGCAGAGAUUGGCACAGCAUUGUAAAUCAACUGUAAUUCAAUGAAAAAAUAAAAUUAAUGUCUGAUC
This 2919-nucleotide transfer RNA is filed under the name Phocoena sinus (vaquita). Its description in RNAcentral is "lncRNA (ENSPSNG00000010361.1)". The stretch from base 1937 to 2010 matches the Rfam family "tRNA". The record is from RNAcentral. Lineage: Eukaryota; Metazoa; Chordata; Mammalia; Artiodactyla; Phocoenidae.